RNAcentral lists this ribosomal RNA (442 nucleotides) under Synthetonychia sp. DNA100796. RNAcentral describes it as "partial 16S ribosomal RNA". The stretch from base 315 to 442 matches the Rfam family "Bacterial large subunit ribosomal RNA", at positions 2473 to 2600 of the family's 2925-position model. The record is from RNAcentral. Lineage: Eukaryota; Metazoa; Arthropoda; Arachnida; Opiliones; Synthetonychiidae.
AGCUUUAUUUUUUUAAAGUAAAUUCUGCUCAGUGAAUCUAAUUAAAUAGCCGCAAUAUCAAUUACUGUGCUAAGGUAGCAUAAUCAUUUGUCUUUUAAUUGGAGGCUGGAAUGAAUGAAUAUUCCGAGAAGAAAGUUUUAUAAAAACAAUUUGAAAUUAAAUUUAAAAUAAAAAUGUUUUAAUAAAAUUUAGGGACGAUAAGACCCUAAAAGCUUUAUAAAAUAAAAUUUUAAUGAAAUUUGUCUUAUUUAGUUGGGGGGAUAAAUGAAAAUAUAAUCUUCAUUUUUGAAAAUUAAAAUUUUAGUUACUUUAGGGAUAACAGCAUUAUUUCGUUAGAGAGUCCUAAUUGAAAACGAAGAUUAUGACCUCGAUGUUGAAUUAAUUAUUCUAAUAAAUGGAGAAAUUUAAUUAAGAAGGUUUGUUCAACCUUUAAAAAAUUACA